Molecule: microRNA, 20 nt
Filed under: Ciona intestinalis (vase tunicate)
Lineage: Eukaryota; Metazoa; Chordata; Ascidiacea; Phlebobranchia; Cionidae
Description: cin-miR-4071-5p
Source: miRBase by way of RNAcentral
CUUGCUCUUACUGUGACAUC